This is a long non-coding RNA of Mesocricetus auratus (golden hamster), 213 nucleotides long. RefSeq lists it as uncharacterized. The record is from RefSeq and is a predicted model, not a curated record. The transcript has 3 exons. NCBI's taxonomy places the organism in Eukaryota, Metazoa, Chordata, Mammalia, Rodentia, Cricetidae.
CCAGGCCUUCUAUCACUGGGGACCUGACACAGAAGUUCUCUACACAGAAUCCCCUCAGUUGAUAAGACCUCAUAUUUGCUUGGGGCUGAUGUCUUAGAGAGGUUCUGGUGCCUCUUGUGAAGCUUCCUGAGAAAAGUUCUAGGUCACAGCAGGAAAAUGAGAAAAUCAAGCAGUCGGUCAAUUGCCAGGGUGGGUGGAGCCUGCUUGCAACUG